AAUGAAACUCUCUCUCUCCUCUUUCAUUCAUUCAAACUUCUUGUUAUGUUAGCUACGAUCGAUCAAAAGGAACCUCUUCUUUUUCUCUAUCGUCGUCUCUGCGAACCCUAGCUUUUCACUCUCUCUGUGCUUCGAUCAAAGCUCGCAUUUUUAAACUUUGAGCAUGGCUUCCGGAUCAUCGGGUCGUAACAACUCUGCUGCGAGAGGGUUUGAUUUCGCCAGGACUACGACAAUCAGGAUAAUUAUAAUGGAAGGCACUCCGAUUCCGUGAUCGGAUCCAAUUCGGCUAAGAUCCUUGAGAUUGAAGCUCUUUAAUGAUGGCUACUGCAACCGUCUCUUCUGCUGGUCCACGUUAUGCUCCAGUGGACCCCACUCUUCCCAAGCCUUGGAAAGGGCUAGUUGAUUGUAAAACUGGUUAUCUUUACUUCUAGAAUCCGGAGACCAAUGUCACUCAUUAUGAGAAGCCCGCUGCCUCUUCACACACGGGCUCAGCUCCACCACAAAAGCUGUCUUCAGCACCUGUAAGUUCUUCGGUUCAAGUUGAACAAUCUUCUCAUGGACAUUGUGACAGUAUCUUCAACGAUGAUGAUGAUAGAUAUAAUGGGGGUAGCAAUAGUCGGUCAAAGCUUGAUACAGGAACACGGAGUUAUCAGGUAAAAGAAUUUGCAGACAUGUGUCAAGUAAUGCAGACAAUUCUCACUAUAGGAAAUGCAUUGAACCGAGGCACUGCUUGAGGAUCUGCCAUAGGAUUCAAAUUGGACAGCCUACUUAAGCUGUCUGAUACUUGUGCAAGGAACAAUAAAAUGACAUUGAUGCAUUAGCGACCUCAGGAGCUUGAUUUAUGCCCAGGAGUAGGCAUACAAUUUUUUCUGUAAAAGAGAACAAUUUAGAAAUAUGCUUGAAAGGAAAAAUGAUGACUCUUCUUUUUGUAAAGGAAUUUUUGGUUACUACUUGCUAGAUAUUUGUCUGAUAACACAUUACACUGAAGUUUUCUUUAUGAAACAAAAUCUGGUUAUCUGA
Molecule: non-coding RNA, 1020 nt
Organism: Camellia sinensis
Lineage: Eukaryota; Viridiplantae; Streptophyta; Magnoliopsida; Ericales; Theaceae
Source: RefSeq, a predicted model, not a curated record